RNAcentral lists this ribosomal RNA (393 nucleotides) under uncultured bacterium. RNAcentral describes it as "bacterial SSU rRNA". It matches the Rfam family "Bacterial small subunit ribosomal RNA", at positions 355 to 769 of the family's 1533-position model. The record is from RNAcentral.
UGGGGAAUCUUGCACAAUGGGCGCAAGCCUGAUGCAGCAACGCCGCGUGCGGGAAGACGGCCCUAGGGUUGUAAACCGCUUUCAGGAGGGAAGAAAUGACGGUACCUCCAGAAGAAGGUGCGGCCAACUACGUGCCAGCAGCCGCGUGACACGUAGGCACCAAGCGUUAUCCGGAUUUAUUGGGCGUAAAGAGCUCGUAGGCGGUUCGGUAAGUCGGGUGUGAAAUCCAAGGCUCAACCUUGGACGCACCCGAUACUGCUGUGACUCGAGUGCAGUAGGGGAGCAGGGAAUUCCUGGUGUAGCGGUGAAAUGCGCAGAUAUCAGGAGGAACACCAGUGGCGAAGGCGCUGCUCUGGGCUGUAACUGACGCUGAGGAGCGAAAGCAUGGGUAGC